GAGGCUGGCCCAUCAGAGUCUACUAGGAGGCACACUCCAGUCCAGCAGCCAGACAGCAGAGCACUUCCCUCAGAGAUCAGAUUGGCUGAUGACUAGAUUGAGAUGAUCUCUCAGCGUGUGGCUUCCUUACUUUCUCGACAGUGGGGCACUUCAGCUUUUGCACAGAGAUCCACAUCACAUGAUGUAUCUGAUCAAACUUUGAUCCC
RNAcentral lists this long non-coding RNA (206 nucleotides) under Elaeis guineensis (African oil palm). RNAcentral's name for it is "long non-coding RNA (EGUI_LNC047739)". The record is from RNAcentral. Lineage: Eukaryota; Viridiplantae; Streptophyta; Magnoliopsida; Arecales; Arecaceae.